Molecule: transfer RNA, 74 nt
Filed under: Urocitellus parryii (Arctic ground squirrel)
Lineage: Eukaryota; Metazoa; Chordata; Mammalia; Rodentia; Sciuridae
Also listed under: 1 other name
Description: Spermophilus parryii (Arctic ground squirrel) tRNA
Rfam family: tRNA
About the family: Transfer RNA (tRNA) molecules are approximately 80 nucleotides in length. Their secondary structure includes four short double-helical elements and three loops (D, anti-codon, and T loops).
Source: Rfam by way of RNAcentral
UGGAAUGUAGCUCAGUGGUAGAGUACACACAUUUAGCAUGUUCAGAGCCCUGGGUUUGAUCCCCAGCACUCUAA